GCCUGGCUGGCUCAGUCACUAGAGUGUGUGACUCUUGAUCUUAGGGUUGUGGGUUCGAGCCCCAUGUUGUGUG
This 73-nucleotide transfer RNA is filed under the name Ailuropoda melanoleuca (giant panda). It matches the Rfam family "tRNA". Rfam says of the family: Transfer RNA (tRNA) molecules are approximately 80 nucleotides in length. Their secondary structure includes four short double-helical elements and three loops (D, anti-codon, and T loops). Further hydrogen bonds mediate the characteristic L-shaped molecular structure. tRNAs have two regions of fundamental functional importance: the anti-codon, which is responsible for specific mRNA codon recognition, and the 3' end, to which the tRNAs corresponding amino acid is attached (by aminoacyl-tRNA synthetases). tRNAs cope with the degeneracy of the genetic code in two manners: having more than one tRNA (with a specific anti-codon) for a particular amino acid; and 'wobble' base-pairing, i.e. permitting non-standard base-pairing at the 3rd anti-codon position. Lineage: Eukaryota; Metazoa; Chordata; Mammalia; Carnivora; Ursidae. The record is from Rfam by way of RNAcentral.